Molecule: ribosomal RNA, 400 nt
Filed under: uncultured bacterium
Lineage: Bacteria
Description: bacterial SSU rRNA
Rfam family: Bacterial small subunit ribosomal RNA
Source: RNAcentral
UCGAGAAUUUUUCACAAUGGGCGCAAGCCUGAUGGAGCGACGCCGCGUGGGGGAUGAAUGGCUUCGGCCCGUAAACCCCUGUCAUUCGCGAUCAAGGCGUUCGACCUAAUACGUCGAAUGUUGAUAGUAGCGGAAGAGGAAGGGACGGCUAACUCUGUGCCAGCAGCCGCGGUAAUACAGAGGUCCCGAGCGUUGUUCGGAUUCACUGGGCGUAAAGGGUGCGUAGGCGGCCGGAUCAGUCCGACGUGAAAGCCCGCAGCUCAACUGCGGAACGGCGUCGGAUACUAUUCGGCUGGAGGAUGGGAAGGGGGACUGGAAUGCUCGGUGUAGCAGUGAAAUGCGUAGAGAUCGAGCGGAACACCUGUGGCGAAGGCGAGUCCCUGGACCAUUCCUGACGCUG